This is a long non-coding RNA of Adelges cooleyi (spruce gall adelgid), 1675 nucleotides long. RefSeq lists it as uncharacterized. The record is from RefSeq and is a predicted model, not a curated record. The transcript has 4 exons. Lineage: Eukaryota; Metazoa; Arthropoda; Insecta; Hemiptera; Adelgidae.
ACCUAAAUCAAUUAUAUUGUGUUAAAUAAUAUUAAUAUUAUGCUAUAUAAUAUAUAACAGUUUAUAGAAAAUAUUUGUUUACACAGUUUUCGAUUUAAGCAUAUGUUUGUUCAUUUUAGUCAAGAAAAUAAAAAGUAAAUUUAUAUGGAUACAUAUAUUUCUAUCAACUUACAUAAAUACUUAAUACAUUGGUAUCUAUUGGUAAUGUUUGUACAAUCUUCAACUACUCAAUUUUUAACAGUGAAACUAAAUUGCCAAAUUUAAUAACAUGUUGAGUGCGUAUAAAAAACACAUUGGUUUCACUAAAUGUCUUUGUGCAAGUGUAUAUAUGAUUGAUCAGUUAAACGAUAGUAAUAUUUAAAACAUUUUAAGGAAACUAAUAAAAAUAUAUUAAAUCUGAAUUAAAUUCCAAGUAAAAAAAAUUGCAAAUAAUAACAAAUAGAUUCAAAACCUAUUUUAUAACUGCCAAAUAGCCACGUGUGCUUUUGCUUGAUGACUUUUGAGAGUAUCUUGGCGACCAUAUGAUUUAUCACAGACUGAGCAUUUGUGUUGUACCCCACCAAUAUGUAUCCGUGCAUGUCUCUUGAGAUGAGAUUGUUGACGAAAUGUUUUUUCACAAACAACACAUUUAUAAGGUUUCUCACCGGUAUGUCUUCUUUCGUGAGUUUUGAAGUUAGAUUGUAUAUUAAAACAUUUUUUACAGACAUCGCAUUUAUAUGGUUUCUAACUGGUAUGUAUGCGUUCAUAAAUUAUGACUAUUAUAAUAUAAUAUUGACUGAAUGCUUUAUCACAGAAACGGCAUUUAAAUGGCCUCUCGCCGGUAUGAACGCGUCAAUGUCUUCUCAGGCUUGAUUUUAAUGAAAAUAGGCCAUCUUUGUUUGGAUUAUUUCUUUUGAUUUUGCAGAUACAAUGAUUGACUUUAUUUUUUUGAGGUGUUAUCGUGGGGUAUAUCGUACCCCACCAAUAUGUAUCCGUGCAUGUCUCUUGAGAUGAGAUUGUUGACGAAAUGUUUUUUCACAGACAUCGCAUUUAAACGGUUUUACGCUGACAUCGCAUUUAAACGGUUUCUCGCCGGUAUGAAUACGUGCAUGGUACUUGAGAUGAAUUUGUUGAUUGAAUGUUUUUUCACAGACAACGCAUUUAUAUGGUUUCUCACCGGUAUGUAUCCGUGCAUGUCUCUUGAGAUGAGAUUGUUGACGAAAUGUUUUUUCACAGGCACGGCAUUUAAAUGGUAUCGGUCGCAUUACACGAAAAAUGAAUACUGCAACACGUAUGAAACAAAACAGAUUAAUUUAGGACAAAUAUUGAUGUUAUGCAGCAAGCAUUAAUAUUACUAAUAUUAAAUGUACAAUCCAUCAUACACGCAUCCUUUUUAAGAAUUAAUUUUAUUGAUUUUACAAGAUAUACAAAGAUCUUCUAUUACUUAUCGAGUUGCCUGAACUUAUUAUACAUAAUACAAUGUAACGUUCACAUUUGUUAGAAUAUGGACAAUAAACAUCCGAGUGCCAUAAGAUUUAAAACUUAAAAAGUGUACUCUAUCUAAAGUCCACUUUUACAUAGAGUACCUUGAGACUUUUUAUGACCGACGUCUUUUAACCUUAAACUUGACAGAAAUAAUAAUAAAUUCUCAUAAACGACUUAACUAUAUUUUUGACAUGGAUAUGUCUUUUGGCUU